This 105-nucleotide non-coding RNA is filed under the name Enterococcus hermanniensis. RNAcentral's name for it is "Glycine sequence". It matches the Rfam family "Glycine riboswitch aptamer". Rfam says of the family: This family represents the bacterial glycine riboswitch. Glycine riboswitches usually consist of two metabolite-binding aptamers domains with similar structures in tandem. The aptamers cooperatively bind glycine to regulate the expression of downstream genes. Lineage: Bacteria; Bacillati; Bacillota; Bacilli; Lactobacillales; Enterococcaceae. The record is from Rfam by way of RNAcentral.
UUUCUGAUUGCGGGAGAGCGCAGAAAUUCUGUCACCGAAGGUAUAAGUUAUAAAGUACGCUAACUCUAUAAUGAACAUCUCAGGUAAAUGGACCGUAAUCAUAUG